UGAUCGACUGGACCGAGGAGGGCGUCGUGCUGGCGGCACGGCGGCAUGGUGAGGCGGAUGUUCUGCUCUCGGCCCUGACCGCC
Molecule: transfer RNA, 83 nt
Filed under: Tistrella bauzanensis
Lineage: Bacteria; Pseudomonadati; Pseudomonadota; Alphaproteobacteria; Geminicoccales; Geminicoccaceae
Description: tRNA-Ala
Source: RNAcentral